Molecule: ribosomal RNA, 497 nt
Filed under: uncultured bacterium
Lineage: Bacteria
Description: partial 16S ribosomal RNA
Rfam family: Bacterial small subunit ribosomal RNA
Source: RNAcentral
GACGAACGCUGGCGGCGUGCCUAAUACAUGCAAGUAGAACGCUGUAGGGAGGAGCUUGCUCUUCUUGGAUGAGUUGCGAACGGGUGAGUCACGCGUAGGUUACCUGCCUUGUAGCGGGGGCUAACUAUUGGGAACGCUAGCUAAUACCGCAUAACAAAGGGUGACCCAUGUCAUUAAUUUGACAAGAGGAAAUGCUCCACUACAAGAUGGACCUGCGUUGUAUUAGCUAGUAGGUGAGGUAACGGCUCACCUAGGCGAAGAUACAUAGCCGACCUGAGAGGGGGAGCGGCCACGCUGGGACUGAGACACGGCCCAGACUCCUACGGGAGGCAGCAGUAGGGAAUCUUCGGCAAUGGGGGCAACCCUGACCGAGCAACGCCGCGUGAGUGUAGAAGGGUUUCGGAUCGUAAAGCUCUGUUGUAAGUCAAGAACGAGUGUGAGAGUGGAAAGUUCACACUGUGACGGUAGCUUACCAGAAAGGGACGGCUAACUACGUG